GACGAACGCUGGCGGCGUGCUUAACACAUGCAAGUCGAACGGAAAGGCCCUGCUUUUGUGGGGUGCUCGAGUGGCGAACGGGUGAGUAACACGUGAGUAACCUGCCCUUGACUUUGGGAUAACUUCAGGAAACUGGGGCUAAUACCGGAUAGGAGCUCCUGCUGCAUGGUGGGGGUUGGAAAGUUUCGGCGGUUGGGGAUGGGCUCGCGGCUUAUCAGCUUGUUGGUGGGGUAGUGGCUUACCAAGGCUUUGACGGGUAGCCGGCCUGAGAGGGUGACCGGCCACAUUGGGACUGAGAUACGGCCCAGACUCCUACGGGAGGGAGCAGUGGGGAAUAUUGCACAAUGGGCGGAAGCCUGAUGCAGCAACGCCGCGUGCGGGAUGACGGCCUUCGGGUUGUAAACCGCUUUCGCCUGUGACGAAGCGUGAGUGACGGUAAUGGGUAAAGAAGCACCGGCUAACUACGUG
Molecule: ribosomal RNA, 468 nt
Filed under: uncultured bacterium
Lineage: Bacteria
Description: partial 16S ribosomal RNA
Rfam family: Bacterial small subunit ribosomal RNA
Source: RNAcentral